GCUGAAGCAGCCGAAGAAGCAGACGAAGGACCUGGACGAGACAGAUCUGGCAUUUAAACAAAAGCAGAAGGAGGAGCAAAAGAAACUUGAGGAGAUGAAAGCAAAGGCUGCUGGAAAAGGGCCCCUCACCAGUGGCGGAAUAAAGAAGUCUGGCAAAAAG
This 160-nucleotide long non-coding RNA is filed under the name Columba livia (rock pigeon). RNAcentral's name for it is "partial uncharacterized LOC102090588". Lineage: Eukaryota; Metazoa; Chordata; Aves; Columbiformes; Columbidae. The record is from RNAcentral.